CACAACACUCCAAUUCCAGAAAUAAAGAGUGAGGUUCAUGAGUAUGUGAUUUCUUUCUCAGAACUGGGAUCUUCAUUGUAAUUAAAAGCAUGUUAAGCAGGCGAGAUCAAGAUUCCAAAAAAAUCCAAAGAACGGGGUUUACAGAAGAAGACUGAGUAUUGUCUGACCUCAAGCUUACGGGAUGCCAGAACAGAACAAGAUUACUGAGAAUGCAACUGAAUUUUAGAGACUACCAGUCACCAAGUAAGUUGCUCAGGCACUACUGAGAUUAUCCCGAUAACAUUUGGAUGUUCAGGAGGGUCUUGGUUAGCACC
This 314-nucleotide long non-coding RNA is filed under the name Homo sapiens (human). RNAcentral describes it as "HSALNT0126010". The record is from RNAcentral. Lineage: Eukaryota; Metazoa; Chordata; Mammalia; Primates; Hominidae.